This 197-nucleotide ribosomal RNA is filed under the name uncultured soil bacterium. RNAcentral's name for it is "partial 16S ribosomal RNA". It matches the Rfam family "Bacterial small subunit ribosomal RNA", at positions 26 to 224 of the family's 1533-position model. The record is from RNAcentral.
AGAUUGAACGCUGGCGGCAGGCCUAACACAUGCAAGUCGAGCGGCAGCACGGGUACUUGUACCUGGUGGCGAGCGGCGGACGGGUGAGUAAUGCCUAGGAAUCUGCCUGAUAGUGGGGGAUAACGUUCGGAAACGGACGCUAAUACCGCAUACGUCCUACGGGAGAAGUGGGGGAUCUUCGGACCUCACGCUAUCAG